GUCUACGGCCACACCACACUGAACACACCCGAUCUCAUCGGACCUCAGAAGCCAAGCAGUACUUGGAUGGGAGAAAUAUACAUUCAUGAGGGGAAUGUCCCUAGGCC
This is a ribosomal RNA of Cercocebus atys (sooty mangabey), 107 nucleotides long. The record is from Ensembl. Lineage: Eukaryota; Metazoa; Chordata; Mammalia; Primates; Cercopithecidae.